RNAcentral lists this ribosomal RNA (507 nucleotides) under uncultured bacterium. RNAcentral's name for it is "bacterial SSU rRNA". It matches the Rfam family "Bacterial small subunit ribosomal RNA", at positions 19 to 518 of the family's 1533-position model. The record is from RNAcentral.
AUGGCUCAGGAUGAACGCUGGCGGCAGGCUUAAUACAUGCAAGUUGAACGGUAACAUGUUGUAGCAAUACGAUGAUGACGAGUGGCGCACGGGUGCGUAACACGUGUGUAACCUACCUUAUACAGGAACAUAACGUUGAGAAAUCGGCGCUAACAUUCCAUAAUAUUAUUUGUAGGCAUCUAUGAAUAAUUAAAACUCCGGUGGUAUAAGAUGGGCACGCGUUCCAUUAGCUAGUUGGUAAGGUAACGGCUUACCAAGGCAACGAUGGAUAGGGGUUCUGAGAGGAUAAUCCCCCACACUGGAACUGAGACACGGUCCAGACUCCUACGGGAGGCAGCAGUAAGGAAUAUUGGGCAAUGGAGGCAACUCUGACCCAGCCAUGCCGCCGUGCAGGAAGACGGCCCUAUGGGUUGUAAACUGCUUUUAAUAGGGAUUAAAGUCGACUACGUGUAGUUGUUUGCAAGUACCUAUAGAAUAAGCAUCGGCUAACUCCGUGCCAGCCGCAGC